RNAcentral lists this transfer RNA (90 nucleotides) under Salifodinibacter halophilus. Its description in RNAcentral is "tRNA-Ser". It matches the Rfam family "tRNA". From Rfam's summary of the family: Transfer RNA (tRNA) molecules are approximately 80 nucleotides in length. Their secondary structure includes four short double-helical elements and three loops (D, anti-codon, and T loops). Lineage: Bacteria; Pseudomonadati; Pseudomonadota; Gammaproteobacteria; Salinisphaerales; Salinisphaeraceae. The record is from RNAcentral.
GGAGGGGUGGCAGAGUGGUCGAUUGCAGCGGUCUUGAAAACCGCCGAGGGUGCAAGCCCUCCGUGGGUUCGAAUCCCACCCCCUCCGCCA